Schizosaccharomyces pombe (fission yeast) is the source of this 226-nucleotide non-coding RNA. The record is from the annotation of a GenBank genome assembly. NCBI's taxonomy places the organism in Eukaryota, Fungi, Ascomycota, Schizosaccharomycetes, Schizosaccharomycetales, Schizosaccharomycetaceae.
AAAUAAUUCAAAAAAGGGAAUAAAGCUAUGAAGAUUGCGUACUAAGCUGAGAAGUACGUUUUAUUGAAGGUUAAAUGCAAGUUGAGAAGUGACGCUUGAAUAUCCAAAAGCUAAGGAAGUAGCGGUUGUCAAAGGUCAGACAGUUAGUACAAUCAAAAUUCGGCAAAAAAGAUUCAAUUUAGAAAACGAAAAGUAAAGAGGAUUUGGUACGGAAAAAAUUACUAUG